This 62-nucleotide transfer RNA is filed under the name Abraximorpha esta. RNAcentral's name for it is "tRNA-Ser". Lineage: Eukaryota; Metazoa; Arthropoda; Insecta; Lepidoptera; Hesperiidae. The record is from RNAcentral.
GAAAUAUGUUAUAAUUAAGCUGCUAACUUAAUUUUUAGGGAUUAAAUUUCAUUAAUAUUUCU